RNAcentral lists this non-coding RNA (73 nucleotides) under Bacillus sp. V-88. The record is from RNAcentral. Lineage: Bacteria; Bacillati; Bacillota; Bacilli; Caryophanales; Bacillaceae.
AGGAGCCGUAUGCGAAGAUCCGCACGUACGGUUCUGUGAGAGGGGUGGUCAGAAAUGGCGACCCCUACUCGAU